Molecule: transfer RNA, 83 nt
Filed under: Canis lupus familiaris (dog)
Lineage: Eukaryota; Metazoa; Chordata; Mammalia; Carnivora; Canidae
Also listed under: 1 other name
Rfam family: tRNA
About the family: Transfer RNA (tRNA) molecules are approximately 80 nucleotides in length. Their secondary structure includes four short double-helical elements and three loops (D, anti-codon, and T loops).
Source: Rfam by way of RNAcentral
GCCUGGGUGGCUCAGUGGUUGAGCAUCUGACUUUGACUCAGGUCGUGAUCCUGGGGUCCUGGGAUCCAGUCCUGCAUCAGGCU